UUUCUUGUCAUAAAAUGUGAAUUUUAUUUUACAUUAUUAUUGCUUACACUUUUGUUUUUCAGUCUGUGAAGUUAAUCAAGCAGUCUUAAGAGUUGGAGGCAGUGCUGGAUGAAAAAAAGGCAAAUGUAUUUCAGAUUCAAAAUAUGAGAAUAGGGUUGAGGAGACCCAAAAGAAUAUGUACCUCAAGACCUAAGCUGAAAUGUCCAGGGUCAUUGUUAGGAAGCAGGUUGUGCUGCUGACGGCGCCCCCUUCCCCUGCAGGACUGCAGUUGCUGCUGCCUCGGGAGAGCGACCUGAUCCCUCACCCCAGCCACCAGAGA
This 319-nucleotide long non-coding RNA is filed under the name Delphinapterus leucas (beluga whale). Its description in RNAcentral is "lncRNA (ENSDLEG00000000986.1)". The record is from RNAcentral. Lineage: Eukaryota; Metazoa; Chordata; Mammalia; Artiodactyla; Monodontidae.